AGGUGUCCAUGGACCGGGUCGGAUCUGGUUAGUUGAUAGUCGGGUCUGGUUAGUUGAUAUAUUGUACCCGUACCCUAAAAAAGAAUGGUCGGGUCUGGGUAGUUGGCUAGUUGCUUAUAUAUCUCUGAAAAGUUUCCAACUUUCUGAUUUAUCCCCCUUAGAAGGCUAAUAUUGAAAAUACCUUUUUUACGUUCCAAUAUAUUUCAAAUAUACCCCUAGAGUUAAAAUCUGUUAGUGAACUCUGUUAUCUCUAUGAAAUUACUAUAUUUGCCCUUUCAAAUAUAGCCUUUUAUCAGCGCCGGCUUUUCUUAUUUGCCCUUUAAGUUACGGGCACAAAAAAUAUUUUGCUUUUUGAUCUUUUCAAAUAUAUCCUUCUACAAUCACCAACAUUUCUUAUUUGCCCUUAAGUUACGGGCAAAAGUGUCAUUUUAUUUUUUUUUAACUGUGGUAGAGAUUUAACUCACGUUUAACCCAAAUUAACUUAAUGGUUGAUAACUGUAAAGGUAUUUUAAAAUAACGGAGGAACAUAUGAGAGGUAUAUUAAAAAGAAAAAAAAAAAGGAAUAAAUGAGAUAUUUUUGAAGUUUUAAGGGGUAUAUAGACAAUUAUC
RNAcentral lists this long non-coding RNA (609 nucleotides) under Ananas comosus (pineapple). RNAcentral describes it as "long non-coding RNA (ACOM_LNC040336)". The record is from RNAcentral. Lineage: Eukaryota; Viridiplantae; Streptophyta; Magnoliopsida; Poales; Bromeliaceae.